CCAAUAGCGUAUAUUAAAGUUGUUGCAGUUAAAAAGCUCGUAGUUGAAUUUCGGGAUCAGUACGCUGGUCGUGCCUUCGGUAUGAACUGGUGUCACUGGUUCCUCCCUUCUGAAGAACUGUCAUGCCAUUCAGUUGGUGUGGCGGGGAAUCAGGACUGUUACUUUGAAAAAAUUAGAGUGUUUAAAGCAGGCUCGCGCUUGAAUACAUUAGCAUGGAAUAGUGAAAUAGGACGUUUGAUCCUAUUUUGUUGGUUUCUAGGAUCGACGUAAUGAUUAAUAGGGAUAGUUGGGGGCAUUAGUAUUCAAUUGUCAGAGGUGAAAUUCUUGGAUUUAUUGAAGACUAACUACUGCGAAAGCAUUUGCCAAGGAUGUUUUCAUUAAUCAAGAACGAAAGUUAGGGGAUCGAAGACGAUCAGAUACCGUCGUAGUCUUAACCAUAAACUAUGCCGACUAGGGAUCGUAUGAUGUUAAUUUUUUAAUGACUCAUUCGGCGCCUUACG
This 500-nucleotide ribosomal RNA is filed under the name uncultured Glomeromycotina. RNAcentral's name for it is "partial small subunit ribosomal RNA". It matches the Rfam family "Eukaryotic small subunit ribosomal RNA", at positions 591 to 1092 of the family's 1831-position model. The record is from RNAcentral. Lineage: Eukaryota; Fungi; Glomeromycota.